RNAcentral lists this ribosomal RNA (460 nucleotides) under uncultured bacterium. Its description in RNAcentral is "partial 16S ribosomal RNA". It matches the Rfam family "Bacterial small subunit ribosomal RNA", at positions 338 to 795 of the family's 1533-position model. The record is from RNAcentral.
CCUACGGGGGGCAGCAGUGAGGAAUAUUGGUCAAUGGGCGUAAGCCUGAACCAGCCAAGUCGCGUGAGGGAUGAAGGUUCUAUGGAUCGUAAACCUCUUUUAUAAGGGAAUAAAGUGUGGGACGUGUCCUGUUUUGUAUGUACCUUAUGAAUAAGGAUCGGCUAACUCCGUGCCAGCAGCCGCGGUAAUACGGAGGAUCCGUGCGUUAUCCGGAUUUAUUGGGUUUAAAGGGUGCUUAGGCGGUCUUUUAAGUCAGCGGUGAAAGUCUGUGGCUCAACCAUAGAAUUGCCGUUGAAACUGGGAGGCUUGAGUAUGUUUGAGGCAGGCGGAAUGCGUGGUGUAGCGGUGAAAUGCUUAGAUAUCACGCAGAACCCCGAUUGCGAAGGCAGCCUGCCAAGCCAUGACUGACGCUGAUGCACGAAAGCGUGGGGAUCAAACAGGAUUAGAUACCCUAGUAGUC